UGAAAAUGGAGACAGAGCAGUUAAAUGACUUACCCAAGCCUUUGGAUGGAGAUGGUACCAGGGAUCAUAACUAAGAAGUUCCUGGCUGCCACAUCUGUGCUCAGACCACGGGGAGGACCCUGAUUGCAGAUCUCCAUGAAGCUGUGUGGGUUUUGUACCUACAGUUCCAUGUGCAUUUUAGAUGGUGUUGUUUCUGGAGAAGUAUAACAUGGAGUGGGAAUCCAGAGGAAGGGCCCCAUAUGGUAAAUCAGGGCUGUGAUUUUUACAUGAGCAAUUAGUUCUUGUUCAAGCUCGGAGGAGAGGCGGAGGCAAAAGGGUUUGAAAGAAUCUGGGCUUUGAAGACAUCUGUAGGUUUGUUUUGUUUGUUUGAGGAAUAAAACAGCUGAGAAUACCUAGA
Long non-coding RNA from Mauremys reevesii (Reeves's turtle), 397 nucleotides. RefSeq lists it as uncharacterized. NCBI's taxonomy places the organism in Eukaryota, Metazoa, Chordata, Testudines, Geoemydidae. The transcript has 2 exons. The record is from RefSeq and is a predicted model, not a curated record.